GACGAACGCUGGCGGCGUGCUUAACACAUGCAAGUCGAGCGGUAAGGCCCUUUCGGGGGUACACGAGCGGCGAACGGGUGAGUAACACGUGGGUGACCUGCCCUCAGCUCUGGGAUAAGCCUGGGAAACUGGGUCUAAUACUGGAUAUGACUCCACGGUGCAUGUCGUGGGGUGGAAAGCCUUGUGCGGCUGAGGAUGGGCCCGCGGCCUAUCAGCUUGUUGGUGGGGUGAGGCCUACCAAGGCGACGACGGGUAGCCGGCCUGAGAGGGCGACCGGCCACACUGGGACUGAGACACGGCCCAGACUCCUACGGGAGGCAGCAGUGGGGAAUCUUGCGCAAUGGGCGAAAGCCUGACGCAGCGACGCCGCGUGA
Molecule: ribosomal RNA, 374 nt
Filed under: uncultured bacterium
Lineage: Bacteria
Description: bacterial SSU rRNA
Rfam family: Bacterial small subunit ribosomal RNA
Source: RNAcentral